UUGCUAUGAUGAUACUCUACUUUGGUCUGUGUUUCUGAAUCCUGAUAUUAAUUAUAAGUCCUGAGCAA
Small nucleolar RNA from Nerophis lumbriciformis (worm pipefish), 68 nucleotides. RefSeq annotates it as small nucleolar RNA SNORD18. Lineage: Eukaryota; Metazoa; Chordata; Actinopteri; Syngnathiformes; Syngnathidae. The record is from RefSeq and is a predicted model, not a curated record.